This 496-nucleotide ribosomal RNA is filed under the name uncultured bacterium. Its description in RNAcentral is "partial 16S ribosomal RNA". It matches the Rfam family "Bacterial small subunit ribosomal RNA", at positions 28 to 523 of the family's 1533-position model. The record is from RNAcentral.
GAUGAACGCUAGCGGCAGGCCUAACACGUGCAAGUCGAGGGGUAGAAGUUGCUUGCAACUUUGAGACCGGCGCACGGGUGCGUAACGCGUAUGCAAUCUACCUUGUACAGGGGGAUAGCCCAGAGAAAUUUGGAUUAAUACCCCAUAGUGUAAUGAAAUCGCAUGGUUUUAUUACUAAAGUUCCAACGGUACAAGAUGAGCAUGCGUCCUAUUAGCUAGUUGGUGUGGUAACGGCACACCAAGGCAACGAUAGGUAGGGGUCCUGAGAGGGAGAUCCCCCACACUGGUACUGAGAAACGGACCAGACUCCUACGGGAGGCAGCAGUGAGGAAUAUUGGUCAAUGGGCGCAAGCCUGAACCAGCCAUGCCGCGUGCAGGAAGACGGUCCUAUGGAUUGUAAACUGCUUUUGUACGGGAAGAAACACUCCUACGUGUAGGAGCUUGACGGUACCGUAAGAAUAAGGAUCGGCUAACUCCGUGCCAGCAGCCGCCGUAA